UGAAGCUUAGAAGUUCUUGAUGUUCUGUAAAUAGUAGUAGCCAUGUUUGAACACGAUGUUCAAACAAGCCGCCGCUGAGACAUGGACGUCGAAUCGGCGGCGGUGGCGUAUAAAACUAAAAUGCAAAUCAGAACAUUUAGAACUACUUAGCUUC
This 154-nucleotide non-coding RNA is filed under the name human gut metagenome. RNAcentral also lists the same sequence under 1 other name. The record is from RNAcentral.